GAUGAGCAUGCGUCCCAUUAGCUUGUUGGUAAGGUAACGGCUUACCAAGGCAACGAUGGGUAGGGGUCCUGAGAGGGAGAUCCCCCACACUGGUACUGAGACACGGACCAGACUCCUACGGGAGGCAGCAGUGAGGAAUAUUGGUCAAUGGGCGCAAGCCUGAACCAGCCAUGCCGCGUGCAGGAUGAAGCAUCUAUGGUGUGUAAACUGCUUUUGCACAGGAAGAAACACUCGGACGUGUCCGAGCUUGACGGUACUGUGAGAAUAAGGACCGGCUAACUCCGUGCCAGCAGCCGCGGUAAUACGGAGGGUCCAAGCGUUAUCCGGAAUCAUUGGGUUUAAAGGGUCCGUAGGCGGUUUUGUAAGUCAGUGGUGAAAGCCCAUCGCUCAACGGUGGAACGGCCAUUGAUACUGCAAGACUUGAAUUAUUGGGAAGCAACUAGAAUAUGUAGUGUAGCGGUGAAAUGCUUAGAGAUUACAUGGAAUACCAAUUGCGAAGGCAGGUUGCUACCAAUAUAUUGACGCUGAUGGA
Molecule: ribosomal RNA, 532 nt
Filed under: uncultured Bacteroidota bacterium
Lineage: Bacteria; Pseudomonadati; Bacteroidota
Description: bacterial SSU rRNA
Rfam family: Bacterial small subunit ribosomal RNA
Source: RNAcentral